UACGUAGGGCGCAAGCGUUGUCCGGAAUUAUUGGGCGUAAAGAGCUCGUAGGUGGUUUGUCGCGUCUGUCGUGAAAGCCCCGGGCUCAACCCGGGAGGGUCGCGGCGAACUGGGAGGCUUGAGGCCGGUAGAGGUGGGUGGAACUCCUGGUGGAGUGGUGAAAUGCGUAGAGAUCAGGAAGAACACCCGUGGCGAAGGCGGCCCACUGGGCCGGUGCUGACGCUGAGGCGCGAAGGCGUGGGGAGCGAACGGG
RNAcentral lists this ribosomal RNA (253 nucleotides) under uncultured bacterium. Its description in RNAcentral is "partial 16S ribosomal RNA". It matches the Rfam family "Bacterial small subunit ribosomal RNA", at positions 524 to 776 of the family's 1533-position model. The record is from RNAcentral.